This 2219-nucleotide long non-coding RNA is filed under the name Nicotiana tabacum (common tobacco). Its description in RNAcentral is "long non-coding RNA (NTAB_LNC001987)". Lineage: Eukaryota; Viridiplantae; Streptophyta; Magnoliopsida; Solanales; Solanaceae. The record is from RNAcentral.
UUUUUUUUACCUUUACAUUACUUACUUUCAAUAUCGCAUCGUACGUUUUGUCGCUUUCAUAACCUCCCUUCCACAUAGGUAGAAAUUACAUCUACACCUUAAAGAUCUAUUGUGAUAGCACCUCUGGUGCAUACAAAAUUCGGUGGAAGCUUUAUGCUGACUUCUUACGACUUAGCUCUAUGACACAAUCUAGAAACAAAAGAAGGGUAACAUUUCCUAAAUGCCCUAUAGACUCUCAAUUAUAAAUAUGGUGCGCAACGCACCCAUAAGUGAGACUCUACUAGGCACGACUUUGUAGACUCCCUAGGACACAACCCGAUCUGAUACCACUCUGUCACCCCCAAACCUGGGGAGGCAUGGCUGGCACCCGGUGCUGUACUGGCCCGAGCGAACCACUCUACUACUCCUUUUUCUUUUUGUGUAACUAUCAUAGGCCAACAUGGCCAUAACUCGUAAUGUACAAUUGUAAGUGGGCAAAUGUUAUAUCAAUGAACCAUCGUUCAUAAAACAUGAAUACAUAUGGGCCUCAAGGCCUCUGACAUACUGUACAUAAUAACCCUAUGUUUACAAAGCCUCUAAGAUUAUUUGAAAUAAAAUGAGACAGGGUACCGGCCUACCCAUAAGUCUGUGCAAAACUCUGACACGAUGAAUCAUAGACUCGACUGCACUCCGAAUGAGGUGGAGUCGUACCGAUCCUUCGCUGAAUGCCAAUCUUAUCUACUAUGAGGGACCGUCAAAUUGAUUAUCUAUACCUGCAGCCAUGAAUACAGCAUCCCUACAAAAGGAUGUCAGUACGAAUAAUGUACUGAGUAUGUAAGGCAUGUAAAUAAAUAUAUAAAGGACAUGAAAGAAACAUGGAGUAAAGGACUCAACCUGUGUAAAUCUGGAUAGAUCUGUAAAUUAUGAAAUAUUUAUAAUGUCAUGCAUAUGCAUGUAACUAUCAUGUAAUGCAUAUGUCUGUACGUACAUAUCAUCAUCAAGCCUCUGAGGGCAUCCCAUCAUAUCAUUUCGGCCACUGUAGCCAAUAUUAUCAAUGUACACCAGCUGAUCAGGUGGUGGUGCGUAUAUAACGCCGUAAACUUUUACCAUAUACUAUAUAUAUAUAUAUAUACACACACACACACACACACACACAUAUAUAUACGCGUAUAUAACGCCGUCUGAGUCAUGGGUAAAUGCACAUGUAAAUGGAUGCAAUGCAAGAAUUACGUCAAUAAAACCUCUCAGAACGUCAAAAGACCAUUAUGCCUCUGAUUAAUAUCAUGAAAUAAACUUUAUCAACUUAUGUAUUUUCUGAGACCCAUGAACAGACGAUAGAAUAAUAAGACAUAUGGGAAUUUAAGAACAUAGGCACCUCUAAUACUUCUAUGAAUAGAGUCAUUUAUGGAAGUUGUGCAUACAUUAGAAUUAGUUCUUGGUAGGUUGAUUUCCUAGGCAUAUUAGUUGUGAUGACUUAGCCAUGCAAGCGGGUGUAUUACCUCAAGUGUACUAUUUGGUUUGCAAGAAGAUUUUACAUAACUAGAGACUUGAAGAACUGGUGUUACAGUGAAGGAUUGGGUAAAACAGAUAAUUAAAGAGACAUGAUUUGCUGCAGAGGUGGCUGUCCAAAAACUAUGAACAACCAAACAAUAAGGCGAAAAAGAAAAAUUUUAUGCAAUAUUUUCUAAUUACAGUUUGCACUUCAGUGGCUUUUGAUUGUUAAACACCCAAACGUUUUCUAUGCAAAUUGUAAAACUUUACAAUAGCUUAUCUACAAUCUUCUAAAUGAAGAUCCACCUCCAACUGUGUGCAAUAUGGCAGAGGUGAUUUAAAAAAACUCGUUUAGCUUGUAUCUUAUGGAUCAUGCCAAAAUAAAUAAGGGAUAACCUUAACAUACCUGAGCCGAUUAUCUUGAAACACGACUAAACUGACAUUUAUGGCUAGCUCGAGUUUGACCUUUGAAAAUGCGAUCACACUGCUUGCUUGUUGAAAGAAAUAAUAUAAGGGAAGAAGAGAACUGGCCGAGGAAUUUCCUCUUUUCAAUUAAGCGAUAAAUUGUACAUCUCUAACUUUGGUUACCUAUCCAGAAAGGAAACUACAACUUUGGAUAAGACCUGAUCUAGAAACGCAGAGGUUCAUAUAUUGGCAGAAGGAUAUGGGGUAGGUAGAAUAUAAGCCAAUUUGUUCUUCCUGUAAUGUAGCACUUUACAUUCUAUAUAAAAAAAAGUAUCCCUUUGCAU